CUGCAACCCGCCGGUACUGCAACACGCCGGUACUGCAACACGCCGGUACUGCAACCCGCCGGUACUGCAACACGCCGGGAGUCACCUCACGCACAGACAGAAGACCCGUUCGCCGGCGUUCUCUGAUCUUGUGCACUCGGCAGCAACACUGUGAACGUCACGUGAGCGAUGCACCGUUCCUGAUUGUAAAGUCCGGGCACAUCUGGAUGGAAACAGGACCGUUGUUUAUAAUAAUUACUCUGUACGCCAUUAAACAAGAGGGAAAAUGUAUAGAAAUCGAUUAUUUCUUGCUCAAGACAGAGCAACAUUACCGACUAGUCCAACAGGAAGAAAGUACAAAGCGCAGGUGAGCUGACAGCUUCCCUCUGUGUGUUUCUGUCAUUCAGUCCCACCUGAAACAGGCAGACUAAUUAACACCAGGAGCUAAUGUGCUGCGUUCACUGUCACUAGAGACGCAGGUGUGAAUGUGUGUUCGGAAAAAAUCCUCCCUCACUAUAACAGAACGUUCAUUGUGUUGAAGUGUCUGAUCACUCUGCACAGGCAGCGCUGCAGCUAAUGAUUAUUUAUUUAUUUCAUCUAUAAACUGACAGGAAAUGCCCUGCGGCCGAGCUUGUUUUAUUCAACCAACAGUCCAGAACCAAAUAAAUCUGAUUUACUGAU
This is a long non-coding RNA of Micropterus salmoides (largemouth bass), 660 nucleotides long. RefSeq lists it as uncharacterized. Lineage: Eukaryota; Metazoa; Chordata; Actinopteri; Centrarchiformes; Centrarchidae. The transcript is spliced from 2 exons. The record is from RefSeq and is a predicted model, not a curated record.